CACAACGCCAGAGACCUGGGUUCAAUCCUGACCUCAGCACUGUUUGUAUGGAGUUCACGUGUUCUCCUCGUGACUAUGCCAGUUUCUUCCUGGUGCUCUCGUUUCCUGCCAUAUUCCAAAGACGUGCACAUUGUUCUGUAGAUUUCUGAGGUGACCAAUGAGGUCAACAUGGAUACCACAGACUCUUCCACAGAUGGGUCAGGAGAUGCCCGAAAGGCCAAGCAGAUAUAAAUUAUGGGCAGAAGAUGGCUAUCCUGUUACAAUCAUUGCAAAUAUUUGCUUAACACAAAUGAUGGAACAUAUCUGACAAGAAACUUGUUGAUCCAAGGAUGGGCGGCAAAAGAAAUUUAUGGUUCAAUUGUUUCUAGCAUCCUGGUGUAAAGUCUUACAUGGAUAUGAAACUUCAUAUGCAAUUAAUAUUGACUAGAUUACAAACUCACAAAGAGACUAAGUAAUGCUUAAAAACUGAAAAAUAUGGAAUAAUUCUUUCAGAGAAACCUAUUCUUAAAUCAGCAGAAAAGUUCAGUUAAUUUCCUACUUGAACUUCCCUGUUAAAUAUAUUGACAUAUAUGAAAGCCUGCAUGUGUCCCUGUGUUCUCACUGGAUCAGAGGGGAAAAUUUGGAACUCUGCCAUAACCUUUAAUUCAUGAUUCCUUGGAACAACGAUACCCUGAAAUCUUUGUAAUAAAACCCAUUAGUUUAAGGAUCUGCCACGAUGGCACUAAAAGGUCUGACGAAAAGGUCUGGAUGCUCGGAGAAUGUGGGAAUUUGACUGGAAGUCUGAACCUGCAUCCAUGAACCUGGAUCUGGAAGAAGUGAAAGGCUGAGGCGUUUAAAAGUGAUGUAAUCAGCAGAAUAGAAAUGUCAAUACUUCUGCCAAACCAUGGAAGAUUUUUAACAGAAUGUAAAAUUAAAAUCAGGAUAUUAGAAAAAAAACUGCAAACUGAGAGCAAUGAAAUCCUGUAAGAUUACUUGAGACACCAAACUAGAAAGGUUAACAAAAAUAAUCGAAGUAAGGGAAACUCAUGGAAAUAGAAACUAAA
Long non-coding RNA from Pristis pectinata (smalltooth sawfish), 1043 nucleotides. RefSeq lists it as uncharacterized. The transcript is spliced from 3 exons. The record is from RefSeq and is a predicted model, not a curated record. Lineage: Eukaryota; Metazoa; Chordata; Chondrichthyes; Rhinopristiformes; Pristidae.